This is a non-coding RNA of Silurus meridionalis, 763 nucleotides long. NCBI's taxonomy places the organism in Eukaryota, Metazoa, Chordata, Actinopteri, Siluriformes, Siluridae. The record is from the annotation of a RefSeq genome assembly.
UAAAUAAUACUGUUGGCAUUUUCUCCAAAGUGUCUGAUGGUUACUAUAAAACUGUGUAUACAGGCUCAGAUGAUUGAUAGACUCCAGUAGAUCACAUCUGUAAAGUCAUGUGACUCAUCAGAGCAGUAGAAGAGACAAGAAUUCAAUGUGAGCUUCCCAUUAUAGCUAAUGAACCAAUCAGAUCAGUCCACAGCUUCAAAUCAUCCAAUCAGGUGUGAGUAAAAGCUGCUUUUCUACUGAACACACGAGUUGAUUUCCUCACUAUCACUGUGUCUGAACAGGAACGAUGAUCUCACUCUUUGUGGCGCUUUACUCUCUGCUUUGUCUCUGCACAGCUGUAAAAACAUCUGACAUCAAGGAGCUUCACGUGAGAACAGUAAAGAGUGGAGAAGAUGUAACUAUAGCGUGUAACAUCAGUCUGAUCACAGACAAAAGUAAAGCAGCCUGGUACAGACAGAGUUUUGGAAAAGUGCCUCAGUUUUUUGCAAAAUAUUACGGGACAAAUAACUACACAUUUACUGAUGGAUUUAAUGAUAAUCGCUUCAGUUUUACUGUAAAUGAGCAUCAGUUUGAUCUCAACAUUACGAACCUGAGAGAAGAUGAUGGAGGAGAAUAUUUCUGUGGAGAUUUGGAGGGAACUACAAUGAAGUUCACAUCUGGAGCACGUCUGCAAUUUGAAGAUAAAGAGAUGAAACUCUGUCCUUCACCUGGACCAGAAAUCAAGGUCACAGGUUCUGUUACACACCAGGGUUCAAACAACACG